CCUACGGGAGGCAGCAGUAGGGAAUAUUGCUCAAUGGGGGAAACCCUGAAGCAGCAACGCCGCGUGGAGGAUGAAGGUUUUCGGAUUGUAAACUCCUUUUGUUAGAGAAGAUAAUGACGGUAUCUAACGAAUAAGCACCGGCUAACUCCGUGCCAGCAGCCGCGGUAAUACGGAGGGUGCAAGCGUUACUCGGAGUCACUGGGCGGAAAGAGCGCGUAGGCGGGAUAGCAAGUCAGAUGUGAAAUCCUAUGGCUUAACCAUAGAACUGCAUUUGAAACUGUUAUUCUAGAGUAUGGGAGAGGUAGGUGGAAUUCUUGGUGUAGGGGUAAAAUCCGUAGAGAUCAAGAGGAAUACUCAUUGCGAAGGCGACCUGCUAGAACAUAACUGACGCUGAUGCGCGAAAGCGUGGGGAGCAAACAGGAUUAGAUACCCCGGUAGUC
This 440-nucleotide ribosomal RNA is filed under the name uncultured bacterium. Its description in RNAcentral is "partial 16S ribosomal RNA". It matches the Rfam family "Bacterial small subunit ribosomal RNA", at positions 338 to 795 of the family's 1533-position model. The record is from RNAcentral.